RNAcentral lists this long non-coding RNA (1614 nucleotides) under Marmota monax (woodchuck). Lineage: Eukaryota; Metazoa; Chordata; Mammalia; Rodentia; Sciuridae. The record is from RNAcentral.
GUUUUUCAGCUUCUUUAUUGUUUCUGAUUCAAUAAUCAAAUAUUAACUAAAAGAGACAUUGGUCCAUUUUAAUAAUGAAAACUGAUUUUAGUUGGUGCACAUUACAAUGGCUAAGAACAUUCUUUAGGAGCUUUCUUUUGGACAUUGUUGGUUUAUUUUAAUUGAAUGAAAUACUGAUAAUCUAUGCUCCCAGAGGAAAUAGUACCUCCAUUUCUAUAACUAACCAUUUCAGGUUUGUUUGCUAAUCUUUCUUAGUGUGGCUUUUGUCAGUUUCUGUGAAUUGGGUCCUGUUUUUUUAUCCAGAAACCAAAUUAUGCCCUUUCCUAUAAUGUCCUGCUUGUAGAAAUAUAAGGAGUCUUUGGAUGGGAAGAUGACUUUUUCUGAAAUGUGUAUCUCAUAGUAUGCAGAGUUAAUUUGGUGAACAAAGGAGAAAGGGACUAGCAUUAGACCCAAAAUUUUCUCUUACAAAUUAUCUCUAUCCUUUUAGUAAUAUUAUGUUGGAAUCACUUAAGAAGAACUUUUCUACUAAUAAAAACACUCCCUAUUUGUAUGUAGCCUGCCUUCUACAGAUCCUUGCAGGAGUGUUGCAUAGCAUAUGUCCUACCUUCUAAAAGAAAAAUGUGGUCCAUGUAGUAACCAUUAUCAGGCCUGGUGUUAAGUAUCAUGUAUUUCAGACAGAAAAGCUCAAUUAGCUCUGACUUUUACAACCUUACUAAGUAAAAACACCUUCCUACCAAGUGUCCCUAAAUUCUUUUCACCUCUUGAGUCAAGUCUUCCAAAAUACAAAAAAUAACUACUUAUAGUGUCAGUGAGCAGUUUUCCAUUUAGUUUUAGUACAAAUAAAAAUCACUUGAAACAAAAUCUCUGAGCAGAGGUAAUUUCAAAUAUUAUUCUCCAAUUUCCAUCUCACAUGAAAUCAGAACGUCAGUAACUAUGGGUCUGAUUUAUGCCUUUGUACAAAGGUAAAUUGAACUCUUUUAUCUAGAUCUAGUUCCUCAGGUGAAGAACAGAAAUAUGAAGGAAAUACAUGAAGGAGUAGGUCUCACAUGGAGGUAAAGACUAGUUUUAGAUAUCUUUCAGUAGAAUUUAUUUCCUCAUUCCCCAACUGAAAGUCUUAUUUAUUUCUCAGGCUGGCCUUGAAAUUGUGGUCCUCCUGCCUCAGUCUCCCACGUAGCUAGUUUUAUACACAUGAGCCACUAUGCUUGGCUAGAAAGAAUUUCCAUUUAAUUCUAUUUCCUUGCUGAGAUUUCUUCUUUUAAUUCACUGCAAGCUUGCUUUCCUUUAUUGAACAUAGUGAUAAUUACUUUAAAAUCUUUUUCUGAUAUAGUCAACAUCUGAAUAAUCUCAGAAUUAGUUCCAUUAUUUAUUCUCUACAGAAUGGGUCUGUUUUUUACUAUUGUUUUCUUUGUGUCCUUCAUAUGUUGAGUAAUUUUAAAUUGAGCCCUGAAUAUUGUAAAUGUUGGUAUUAUGGAUUCUGUUAUAUUCCUCUGAAGAAUGCUGAUUUUCUUUUUUAUGUUAGCAGGCAUUAACUUUAUUGGACUCAACUUGUAAACUGUGUCUUGAGCAGCAAUUCAAAUAUCAAUUCAGUUCUUUUAUCUGUAACUGGAAUCUGUC